RNAcentral lists this ribosomal RNA (350 nucleotides) under uncultured dictyochophyte. Its description in RNAcentral is "SSU rRNA". It matches the Rfam family "Bacterial small subunit ribosomal RNA", at positions 524 to 872 of the family's 1533-position model. Lineage: Eukaryota; Dictyochophyceae. The record is from RNAcentral.
GACGGAGGAUGCAAGUGUUAUCCGGAAUUACUGGGCGUAAAGCGUCUGUAGGUGGUUUAGUAAGUCGAUUGUUAAAGCUUGGGGCUUAACUCCAAAACAGCAAUGGAAACUGCUAGACUUGAGUAUGGUAGAGGUAAAAGGAAUUUCCAGUGGAGCGGUGAAAUGCGUAGAUAUUGGAAAGAACACCGAUGGCGAAGGCAUUUUACUGGGCCAUAACUGACACUCAGAGACGAAAGCUAGGGUAGCAAAUGGGAUUAGAUACCCCAGUAGUCCUAGCUGUAAACGAUGGAUACUAGAUGUUGCACGUAUCGACCCGUGCAGUGUCAUAGCUAACGCGUUAAGUAUCCCGC